GGUCCCACUGGCUUUUUUUUUUAACUAAUUAAUUAAUUUAUUUAUUUUCCACUGGCUUUUCUUGAUACCCUGGUGAGAGAGAACAGCUGAGCCAAAGUCAGAGGCCUCGUAUCUAUAGAAUGAAGAAGACCCAUGAGCACAGAGAAUCUUGUUUGAUUUGUUUACCAAUGAGCCCUCAUGCCUAGAACUGUGUUUGGUAACAUGGUGGAAAAACAUUUUGAGAAGCCAUGGCUAACCACAUACAUUUUAUCCUGGAAGUAUAAAUCAUUUUCUUUAUGUAUUGGGGAAGAAAACAUUCAUUUUGCCUAGGAGAGAGAAGGACCUCAAAUUUAAGUGUAAUAUCCUGGGCUUCAGGAUGUAAAGGCUAGACAAGACAGAGAUAUAUCACUGGGGUCACACACCCUUGGUUGGUGCCAGCGGGCAAGUCCUCCAACAAGGUAGGUGUGGAACAACGUAGCAGGGAAGUGG
Molecule: long non-coding RNA, 468 nt
Filed under: Vulpes vulpes (red fox)
Lineage: Eukaryota; Metazoa; Chordata; Mammalia; Carnivora; Canidae
Description: lncRNA (ENSVVUG00000009919.1)
Source: RNAcentral